GUUAUCACAGCCCUUAUUAAGCACAGCACUGAAAAAUGCUAAAUUACCCCAACUUAUAACACA
RNAcentral lists this transfer RNA (63 nucleotides) under Hydrophis melanocephalus. Its description in RNAcentral is "tRNA-Phe". The record is from RNAcentral. Lineage: Eukaryota; Metazoa; Chordata; Lepidosauria; Squamata; Elapidae.